Long non-coding RNA from Lontra canadensis (Northern American river otter), 1148 nucleotides. RefSeq lists it as uncharacterized. The record is from RefSeq and is a predicted model, not a curated record. The transcript is spliced from 2 exons. Lineage: Eukaryota; Metazoa; Chordata; Mammalia; Carnivora; Mustelidae.
AGGCUCUUCUAGUUACUGCCACCUCAGAAUGCCCAACCUGUCAGCAACAGAGAGGAAUGCUGAGCUCCCUGUAUGGCAUUAUUCUUCAAGGAGACCAACCAGCCACUUGGCAAGCUGACUACAUCGAACACCUUCCAUCCUGGAAGGGCCAGUGAUAGGAACAGACGUCAAUUUGGGGUGUGAAUUUUCCUUUCCUGUCCAUAGAGUCCUCAGGCAGCAUCACUAUCCAAGGGUUUAUAGAGUGCCUGAUCUAAGGCAUGGGACCUAUACAACAUAGCAUUCAAACAGCCAACCCACUUCACAAUGAGGGAGGUGAGGAAAUGAGCCUACUACCAUGGGAUCCAUUAGUCAUAUGACAUACUGUAUCAUCCCGAAACUUCUGGAGUGGUAGAAUGUUCUAGAAUGGCCUACUGGAAGCACAGCUUAAAGUGACAGUUUGGAGCAGUACUCUGCAGAGAUCAAGGGUGCAGUGUGUCAACUGAAUCAGAGACCUCUAUGUGGCACUGUGUCUGAGAACCAAUGGGUGGAAGCAGGAGUAGCCUCACUUACCAUCAUGCCCAACAACGCACCAGGUGAUUUUGGGCUACUGGUCCUUGCAACUCUGGAUGCUGCAAGUUAGAGGUCCUCAUCCCCAGGAAGCAUACUCUCUUGAGAGGACCCAGCAAAGUUGCUAGUAAACUACAAGUUAUUGCUGCCACCUGGGCUAUUCGAAUUCCACGUGUCAUGGGAUCGGCAGGCAAGAAGUGGAAUCACUAACCUCAAACAGAAUUGCAUCAUACGGAAGCAAAGGUGCCAGGGAUGCUACCCCAAAGUCCACAGUGUCUGUGUAUGUGGUGCACACAAGUGAAGGCGUCCACUUACAUUCUCUACUCCAUCCGGGCACCUGGAUGUCAGCUACAAAUACUAAUUGGUAGAAUGCGUUGUGUACUUUCUCUUACUAAGCCUGAAGUUUUCUUUAAACUAAAUUUCAGUGAAAUUAAAAUCAGUGAAAGGGCUAGUUAAAAAGUGAAGCCUCAAAACAAAAUGUGGCAAUUACAGUUUAUUAAAGAAUUAACUUGGGCCAAUUAUCAUUUAAAACAUUAUGGAUGUAUUGCUAUGAACUAAAUAUGGCCCAGUUCCUUAAUACCCAGACAGUUCUAUGCUCUGCU